Potamilus streckersoni is the source of this 74-nucleotide non-coding RNA. Lineage: Eukaryota; Metazoa; Mollusca; Bivalvia; Unionida; Unionidae. The record is from the annotation of a GenBank genome assembly.
UCUGGUGGCCUAGUGGUUAGAGCGUGUCCGUCUCAGAUGCGGGAGGUCGUGGGUUCGAAUCCCGGUCUAGUCAU